RNA transcript from Mus caroli (Ryukyu mouse), 2469 nucleotides. It is a transcript of the gene named G protein-coupled receptor kinase 4, with no coding region annotated. NCBI's taxonomy places the organism in Eukaryota, Metazoa, Chordata, Mammalia, Rodentia, Muridae. The record is from RefSeq and is a predicted model, not a curated record.
CCGCCCCGAGGGGAGCUCUCGGGCUCCCUCUGGAGGAAAACCGUUAGCCGGGGCCCAGCAGUCUUGCGAGUUAACUGGCGGCUGCCGCUGCGGCUGCUGGAGCCGUCGCGGUCGCCGCCGGAGAUCGCUCUCGAGUUUGUAAGCUCCUCGGUAGGGUAGGGCGCGGCGAAGGUUGAGUGCCGCCCAGGACCGGGCGCUGAGGAGAGAGUUACGCGCCCUGGGCCUGGGCGAUGAUGCUGAGAGGAGCUCGAGCUACCGCGCGCCGGCGCCGAUAGCGGAAGCCCCUUGCCGGGACAGCAACAGAGCUGGAACCCGUAGCGAGCCUACCCGUGUCCCAUCUCCGCGGCGAUCGCGACGGCGACGGCGACGACGGCAGCGCUCCUGGUGGCAGUUGUGGCGACCCCGGAGGAGGCGGAGGAAGAAGCGACAGAGGCGGUCGCUGUCGCGGAGGGCCACCAUCCAGAAGCCGCGUUCCCCAAAGGACAAGGGAUGCCCCGAGGCUGCUGCCGCGGGUUUAGGAUCUCCUCCCCCGCAGCCUUCCCAGUCUCCAUUGCCUCAACUCCGAAAAGUUCGACGUCGGAAACCGCGGCAGCGACGGCGCAGGACAGCGAUCAUGGAACUCGAGAACUUCAUGGCCAACAAUCUGUUGCUGAAGGCCCGUCUAGGAUUUAACAAACAGACUGGUCGUAGUAAAAAAUGGAGAGAGCUCCUGAAGUUUCCCCCAGUGAGCAUGUGCACUGAAUUAAGACUUUCCAUGGAAAAGGAUUUUAGCAGUCUUUGCGACAAACAGCCAAUUGGAAGACUUCUUUUUAGACAAUUCUGUGAUACAAAACCAGAUCUAAAAAGGUGCAUUGAAUUCUUGGAUGCAGUGGCAGAGUACGAAGUUACCAUUGAAGAGGAACAAAGAGAAUUUGGACUAGCUAUCUUCAGUAGAUUCUUCAAAGAGAAGUCAGAAGUCCCCUUACCAGAGAUACCUCCAGCUAUUGUGAAAGAGUGUAAAUGGAAUCUGAAGCAGAAUUCUCCCUCUCAAAAUGUUUUCGAAGAAUGUGCUGGAAUUGUCUCUAAGUAUUUGAGUGAAACACCAUUUGAAGAAUACCAAGAAAGUACCUACUUUAAUCGAUUUUUACAAUGGAAAUGGCUAGAAAGGCGUCCAAUAACAAAGAACACAUUCAGACAAUAUAGAGUUCUAGGAAAAGGCGGAUUUGGAGAGGUUUGUGCCUGUCAAGUACGAGCUACAGGAAAAAUGUAUGCCUGCAAAAAACUAGAAAAAAAAAGAAUAAAGAAGAGGAAAGGUGAAGCCAUGGCUCUGAAUGAAAAAAGAAUCUUAGAAAAAUUGCAUAGUAGAUUUGUAGUUAGUUUAGCCUACUCUUAUGAAACCAAGGAUGCUUUGUGUUUGGUGCUAACCAUAAUGAAUGGAGGGGAUUUGAAGUACCACAUUUACAACCUGGGUGAUCCUGGCUUUGAGGAGCCGAGAGCUGUGUUCUAUGCUGCAGAGUUGUGCUGUGGCUUGGAAGAUUUACAGAGGGAAAGAAUUGUAUACAGAGACCUAAAGCCAGAGAAUAUCCUCCUUGAUGAUCAUGGACACAUCCGAAUUUCAGAUCUUGGUCUAGCUAUGGAAGUCCCAGAAGGGGAGAUGGUUCGAGGAAGAGUUGGUACUGUUGGCUACAUGGCUCCAGAAAUUAUCAAUCAUGAAAAGUAUACAUUUAGUCCUGACUGGUGGGGACUUGGCUGUCUGAUAUAUGAAAUGAUUGCGGGACAUUCUCCAUUCAGAAAAUAUAAAGAAAAAGUCAACCGGGAGGAAUUGGAAAGAAGAGUGAAGAAUGAAACUGAGGAGUACUCUGAGAGGUUUUCAGAGGAUGCCAAGUCCAUCUGCAGCAUGUUACUCAUCAAAGAUCCAAGUAAGAGGCUGGGCUGCCAGAGGGAUGGAGUCGCUGCUGUAAAGCAGCACCCAAUAUUCAAGGAUAUAAACUUCAGCAGGCUGGAAGCAAAUAUGUUAGAUCCACCUUUCAUUCCUGAUCCUCAGGCCAUUUAUUGUAGGAACGUCUUGGAUAUUGGGCAGUUCUCUGUGGUGAAAGGAGUCAACCUGGAUACCAAUGAUGAAAUCUUCUAUGCUGAAUUUGCGACAGGGUCUGUCACCAUCCCCUGGCAGAAUGAGAUGAUUGAAUCUGGAUGUUUCAAGGAUCUCAAUGAAAAUGAAGAUGAUUUGUCAUCACUUGAAAAAUACAAGAUGUGUUCCUCCAUUCUCAGACCAAAGAGACACUUCUUCCAUAGACUCUUCAGAAGAACGAAAAGUCUUCACAAUGCUGCUUGCUGUUGGUGGAAAGAUUGCUCUGAUCUACAAAGCAAUGACUCUUAGCACUGAAGCUGCUUCCUAUUUUGGUGACAAAGCAUUUUGACCUUGCUUAAAGGGCUGCCUGAACAUUGCCCACAGUGAGGAGAGGGAGCCAACAGAACACUGACCAUUCACUG